Molecule: transfer RNA, 65 nt
Filed under: Hediste diversicolor
Lineage: Eukaryota; Metazoa; Annelida; Polychaeta; Phyllodocida; Nereididae
Description: tRNA-Tyr
Source: RNAcentral
AUUGAAGUGGCCGAGCAUAUAGGCAACGGUCUGUAAAACCGUAAACGGAACCUAUCCCUUUAAUA